CGGGACGCCACUACCGACGAUGCGUAGGGGUUCUGAGAGGAAGGUCCCCCACACUGGUACUGAGACACGGACCAGACUCCUACGGAAGGCAGCAG
Molecule: ribosomal RNA, 95 nt
Filed under: uncultured bacterium
Lineage: Bacteria
Description: partial 16S ribosomal RNA
Rfam family: Bacterial small subunit ribosomal RNA
Source: RNAcentral